RNAcentral lists this long non-coding RNA (1800 nucleotides) under Canis lupus familiaris (dog). RNAcentral's name for it is "lncRNA (ENSCAFG00000052039.1, ENSCAFG00845028359.1)". Lineage: Eukaryota; Metazoa; Chordata; Mammalia; Carnivora; Canidae. The record is from RNAcentral.
UUUUUUUUUUUUAAAGUUUCAUUUAUUCAAGUAAUCUCUACACCCAACGUAGGACUCGAAAUCACAACCUCAGGAUCCAGAGUCCCAUGCUCCUCCAAUUGAGCUGGACACGGCACCCCAGAGCUUAUUACUCUUAAUUCUCAAAACUUACCAUUAUAGUCAACUGAAGAUAUAAUUGGCAGGUACUGCACAUAUUAGAAUAUGAUAAAUUUUUAUUCUUUGGGAAAAUACUUCCUUGUUCUCACAGACUUUGAUUUCCAAAAUGACUUCUCUAAAAAUACACCUUUAUUUUACUUGAAGAGUAUGGAGACUAAAAAUAAACUUUCUUUUAAUUUACCUAAUAAGUCCAAUAUUCGGUAUGCAAAAAUGACCACCAUACAAUGCUUAAAAUAAGACAAAGAAAACUGGGUUAAGAAUAGAGUGAUUCCUAUAAAAAUGCAAGUAUAACUUCAGAUAAUAAUGAACCUAGUUCUCUUCAAAGAUAUGAACACUGUUUUCAUUAUUAACAUUUAACUAAAAUAAAUCAAUUCUUUUUCCACCUCUCCAAGUAAAACUCAUAGUAAGAAGCAGCCAAGAAUUAUUGCAAUUGUCCAAUAGAUUCUUUAGUAAAGGCUGAUCAUACCUUUGUAGCAAAGGUAUAAAUGAGUUACUGCUGCUAUAGUGAUUUGACAAUGCUUUGGCCCCAAGCUUCAUAUAUUAAAUAGCACUGUAGAAAAGAACAACUAAUAUAAAGUAACUGGCUCACAGUGUAGGCAAAAUCAUAUAUAGAUUUGUUGACCACAUGAACAAAUAACUACACAUACACAUUAAAAAUAUACUGGAUCCAAAAAAAUAUAUACUGGAUCCAACAAGUACUUACUAUAAACGAGUCUGAGGGUUUAAGUUCUAACACUGUGAACAGACAUAUGUGAAUAAAGCAGUUUUGUCCACAAAGAGCUUACAACUUAACUGAAUACAAUAAGUUGAAACCUCUCAAGGAGUUUCAGAAAUUGUUUCAAAUUGUUUGUAUUUUUAAAUGAGGUGAUAGCAUGUUUAAAUAUCUUUUUAUAAUAAAAAUAAAAUAACAAAAAUCAAUUAACAAUAGAAUAAAUACAAUAAGUAAUAUGACAACAUAAAAUAAUAAUAAAAUAACAUAAUGUAGUAAGCAAAAACGAAUAGGCUGAAAAACUCAUAUGUAUAUCAUGUGUGGUAGUAAGUGACAAUCAGAUGAGUGCUUAUGAUAUGCAAUCCCUAUAUUACCCAGCUGAACACUGAUAUAGUUGCUAUGACGGUUCUGAUGCUUUUUUUUUUUUUUUAACCUUCUUUUGUUAAAGAACAGAAGCAUGAUGUGUAUUAGUAGGGAAAUGAGCCAAUGAGGACAUAAAGUGAUAAUUUAGCAAAAAAAUAUAUCAUAUAACCCCACUUACAUUAGGUAUUUGGAGUAGUCAAAUUCACAAAAACAGCAAGCAGAAUGGUGGUAGCCAAGGAAUGGAGGAAGAAGGGAAAUGGAAACUUGUUUAAUGGGUAUAGAGUUUCAGUUCUGCAAAAUGAAAAAGUUCUGGAAACUGGUUGCACAAUGUGAAUAUAUUUAACAUUACUGAACUGUACAAUUAGAAAUGUUAGCAUGGCAAAUUCCACGUUUAAAAAAAUGCCUUUAGGUGCUUAUGCAGAGAUGCCUGGCCUUGGAAGUUGAUAAACUAUGUCUUGGGUGACUGGGUGGUUCAUUUGGUUAAGUGGCUGCCUUAGGCUUAUAUUGGGAUCCCAGGGUCCUGGGAUUAAGCUCCCUGCUCAGCAGGGAAUCUGUUUUCCCUCUCCCUCUGC